GAUGAACGCUGGCGGCGUGCUUAACACAUGCAAGUCGAACGGAAAGGCCCCAGCUUGCUGGGGUACUCGAGUGGCGAACGGGUGAGUAACACGUGGGUGAUCUGCCCUGCACUUUGGGAUAAGCUUGGGAAACUGGGUCUAAUACCGAAUAUGACCACUUCUUGGAUGUUGUGGUGGAAAGCUUUUGCGGUGUGGGGUGAGCCUGCGGCCUAUCAGCUUGUUGGUGGGGUAAUGGCCUACCAAGGCGGCGACGGGUAUCCGGCCUGAGAGGGUGUACGGACACAUUGGGACUGAGAUACGGCCCAGACGCCUACGGGAGGCAGCAGUGGGGAAUAUUGCACAAUGGGCGCAAGCCUGAUGCAGCGACGCCGCGUGGGGGAUGAAGGCCUUCGGGUUGUAAACUCCUUUCGCUAUCGACGAAGCCACUUGUGGUGACGGUAGGUAGAUAAGAAGCACCGGCUAACUACGUGCCAGCCGCCGCGGUAA
This 486-nucleotide ribosomal RNA is filed under the name uncultured bacterium. RNAcentral's name for it is "partial 16S ribosomal RNA". It matches the Rfam family "Bacterial small subunit ribosomal RNA", at positions 28 to 523 of the family's 1533-position model. The record is from RNAcentral.